GGGUGCUGUGUGUGUCUGGGUGCUGUGUGUGUCUGGGGGUGCUGUGUGUGUCUGGGUACUGUGUGUGUCUGGGGGUGCUGUGUGUGUCUGGGUGCUGUGUGGGGGUGCUGUGUGUGUCUGGGUGCUGUGUAUGUCUGGGGGUGAUGUGUGUGUCUGGGGGUGCUGUGUGUGUCUGGGUGCUGUGUGUGUGUCUGGGGGUGAUGUGUGUGAGUGUGAUUUUUUUUUAAUUUAA
Non-coding RNA from Pelobates cultripes (western spadefoot toad), 232 nucleotides. Lineage: Eukaryota; Metazoa; Chordata; Amphibia; Anura; Pelobatidae. The record is from the annotation of a GenBank genome assembly.